Molecule: ribosomal RNA, 273 nt
Filed under: uncultured prokaryote
Description: partial 16S ribosomal RNA
Rfam family: Bacterial small subunit ribosomal RNA
Source: RNAcentral
UACGUAGGGAGCAAGCGUUGUCCGGAUUUAUUGGGCGUAAAGAGCUCGUAGGCGGUUCGGUAAGUCGGGUGUGAAAACUCUGGGCUCAACCCGGAGAGGCCACUCGAUACUGCUGUGACUUGAGUCUGGUAGGGGAGCACGGAAUUCCUGGUGUAGCGGUGAAAUGCACAGAUAUCAGGAGGAACACCGGUGGCGAAGGCGGUGCUCUGGGCCAGUACUGACGCUGAGGAGCGAAAGCGUGGGGAGCGAACAGGAUUAGAAACCCGGUAGUCC